Molecule: ribosomal RNA, 653 nt
Filed under: uncultured beta proteobacterium
Lineage: Bacteria; Pseudomonadati; Pseudomonadota; Betaproteobacteria
Description: bacterial SSU rRNA
Rfam family: Bacterial small subunit ribosomal RNA
Source: RNAcentral
CUUACACAUGCAAGUCGAACGGCAGCACGGGUGCUUGCACCUGGUGGCGAGUGGCGAACGGGUGAGUAAUACAUCGGAACAUGUCCUGUAGUGGGGGAUAGCCCGGCGAAAGCCGGAUUAAUACCGCAUACGAUCUAUGGAUGAAAGCGGGGGACCUUCGGGCCUCGCGCUAUAGGGUUGGCCGAUGGCUGAUUAGCUAGUUGGUGGGGUAAAGGCCUACCAAGGCGACGAUCAGUAGCUGGUCUGAGAGGACGACCAGCCACACUGGGACUGAGACACGGCCCAGACUCCUACGGGAGGCAGCAGUGGGGAAUUUUGGACAAUGGGCGAAAGCCUGAUCCAGCAAUGCCGCGUGUGUGAAGAAGGCCUUCGGGUUGUAAAGCACUUUUGUCCGGAAAGAAAUCCUUGGUUCUAAUAUAGCCGGGGGAUGACGGUACCGGAAGAAUAAGCACCGGCUAACUACGUGCCAGCAGCCGCGGUAAUACGUAGGGUGCGAGCGUUAAUCGGAAUUACUGGGCGUAAAGCGUGCGCAGGCGGUUUGCUAAGACCGAUGUGAAAUCCCCGGGCUCAACCUGGGAACUGCAUUGGUGACUGGCAGGCUAGAGUAUGGCAGAGGGGGGUAGAAUUCCACGUGUAGCAGUGAAAUGCGUAGA